GGAGAGAUACCCAAGUUGGCCAAAGGGGACGGACUGUAAAUCCGUUAGCUGUGCUUUCACAGGUUCGAAUCCUGUUCCCUCCA
This 83-nucleotide transfer RNA is filed under the name Peptococcaceae bacterium. RNAcentral's name for it is "tRNA-Tyr". It matches the Rfam family "tRNA". Rfam says of the family: Transfer RNA (tRNA) molecules are approximately 80 nucleotides in length. Lineage: Bacteria; Bacillati; Bacillota; Clostridia; Eubacteriales; Peptococcaceae. The record is from RNAcentral.